CGGGAUAGCUCAGCUGGUAGAGCAGAGGACUGA
Molecule: transfer RNA, 33 nt
Filed under: Colubrina reclinata
Lineage: Eukaryota; Viridiplantae; Streptophyta; Magnoliopsida; Rosales; Rhamnaceae
Also listed under: 2 other names
Description: transfer RNA-Phe
Source: RNAcentral